This 364-nucleotide long non-coding RNA is filed under the name Hordeum vulgare. RNAcentral describes it as "long non-coding RNA (HVUL_LNC008627)". Lineage: Eukaryota; Viridiplantae; Streptophyta; Magnoliopsida; Poales; Poaceae. The record is from RNAcentral.
GGCAUCAUUGCACGCCCGGCCGGAUUGCAAAGGGUGCAGGAGACCUUUAUUUAUACCAGAGCACAGUACAUGGAGUACCUGUACCCUACCACUUUUCAGCACGUACAGGCAUGCAUACUGCGCGUAUAAUUAGAUCACUUUACACACACAUAAGCUUUCUUCACCUCCACUAUACUAACAUACGGCACACGUGAUUGCGCAUUUGCACCUGCACCUUCUCCGUGCUCCAAACAAAAUCAUCAGCGAUCAAUCAUCUCCCAAAGACGGAGGGUGAAAAGGCACGGGCUCCUCCAAACUUGCAGCAACGAGCAAACUCCUCUCCAGUCUCCACAUCAUCAGCCAGGAGACGAAGAAAACGCCGAGG